CAAUCACUUGUCUUUUAAAUGAAGACCUGUAUGAAUGGCACAACGAGGGCUUGACUGUCUCCUUUUUCAAGUCAAUGAAAUUGAUCUCCCCGUGCAGAAGCGGGGAUAGAACCAUAAGACGAGAAGACCCUAUGAAGCUUCUAGACACAAAGCAGCAUUACGUUAAAUACCCCCCUACUACGGGACCAAACUAAAUAGGACCUGCUCUAANGUCUUUGGUUGGGGCGACCUUGGGGUAAUAAACAACCCCCAUGUGGAACGGGACCACCUUUCCUCACCUACAACUAAGAGUCACAACUCUAACUAACAGAACUUCUGACCAUCAAUGAUCCGGCAACGCCGAUCAACGGACCAAGUUACUCUAGGGAUAACAGCGCAAUCCCCUUUUAGAGCCCA
This 396-nucleotide ribosomal RNA is filed under the name Trachinus draco (greater weever). Its description in RNAcentral is "partial 16S ribosomal RNA". It matches the Rfam family "Bacterial large subunit ribosomal RNA", at positions 1962 to 2502 of the family's 2925-position model. Lineage: Eukaryota; Metazoa; Chordata; Actinopteri; Perciformes; Trachinidae. The record is from RNAcentral.